Non-coding RNA from Chiloscyllium plagiosum (whitespotted bambooshark), 2631 nucleotides. NCBI's taxonomy places the organism in Eukaryota, Metazoa, Chordata, Chondrichthyes, Orectolobiformes, Hemiscylliidae. The record is from RefSeq and is a predicted model, not a curated record.
CUGAAUGCUGUCUCUAUCUGUCUGUCUGUGUGUGUGUGUGUGUGUCUCUCUCUCUCUCUCUCCCACAGAGGCUGCCUGGCCUGCUUGGUUUCGCUGUUGUUUUUCCACGUUCCCAGCAUCCACAAUAUUUUGCCUUUAACCAGUUACUCCAUUCUGGUCACGGGGAAAGAUCAUUUUAUUCAGACCCCACGAUUGUCCUCACGUACAUAUCGUGCUUCAUUUCCCCAAAUUUGAACAUUGAGGGAGGUGGAGAGAUUGGGCUCAUUGCUACUCUGAACGAAUAGCUAAUACUCCCUGAUUUAGCUCACACGUUAAGAACAAUCACUUCGGUGAACUACCGGAGUACGGCGCGGGUGAAAAUCUUCUGUUAUUAGAGAAAAAGAACAGAAGAGCUCCAAUUUCACAAAUCGACAGCUAUGAUCUAAAUCCGGCUUGCUUGUUUUCUUUUGCAAUGCAGGUGGGCUCACCAGGUUUUGACUGCUGUGCUCAAAAUACGUUCUUUCAGACUUGGAUUCUUGCAAUAAUUGUGCACGUAUUGUAUCCUCAGAUCUCGUAUUGGACCGUACCACUCUAUUCACGUGACAUGAUCCUAAAUAAACUAAAGUAAAGUUGAAAAGAGAGAGCGAGGGAGACACCGGUCGGAUACAUCGCUGAAUGUUGAUCGAUCUGGAAUAAUGCUGGGUCAUUUUAACGCCAGCGUGAAAACCUGUGAUACUGCAGCAGUGGAGCCCGCCUGUUCAGCAGUGUCUACCCGUUAAAUAUUCUUCUAUCUGCUCCAGAUCUUUCAAACAAAGCAGUUCAGGCUAUCCCCUCAAGCAUCUGAUUUGAAAUUCAGCACUUUUUCCAACAAAAACCUCAAAAACUAUGUGUGGAUCAAACUGCAGGACUACUUAAGACUGGCUCAGAAAUAACUGAAGAAAUUUUUACUACUGACAAAGCUGUCUUGUAACAAUGGAAAGCCUUUCGUGUUGACUACAUUAUCCAUCGCAAACUCUUUCUAAUCCCCAAUUUAUCUAUGUUAGUUGAUUAAUAUUAACAAUAGCUUGAUACUUCAUUGAUGGAGAUACAUUGUUGAACCAAUUCAUUUGCAGAAGUUAAUCCUAAAUUCAUAUUCAUGCUUUAUGAAGAACCCAUGCAUGAGGGAUUUUGAGCCUUUGUAUUCAAAAUGAAUUCCAAAUUUCAUAAAAUUUCAAUGCCUAUGCUGUUGCCAAGCAACCAAAAUGAAAACAUAUCAAAAUUUAACUCAACUAGUGAUGGGGAUCCAAAGCGUCUGGAGGAAAGUAUCUCUUCCUUUGUGGCACUGGUUAUCCUGCUGGCUUUAAUAUUCACCUUGCUAUCUAUGUCUCUUGCAACCUUUCAUUUCCAUAAAUGGAAACUGAAAAGCAAAAAAAUACUGAGAGCCGAGGAAGAAUACGAAAGGGACCAAGGGAAUUCCAAACUUCGUGACUCUACUUGAAUGGCCCUAAACUUCUGUAAUUGGAAAGCCUGGAAGCAGCUUUCAGCACCAGGGAUAUUUGAAGACAGACUUGUCUGUUUACAUGAACAUAUUUCUGACUCUAAACUCUUUUGAAAGCAAACCAUUUAGUCUUAAGCUUGCCUGCAUAGACAUAGUAUGGGUAACAAUUUUUACAACAGGAGGAAAGAAAACUGCAAAUACCAUAUACAUAAGUACUGACAGCUGGUAAGAUGAUAAAAUAUUUAUUGCAUUUACAUUGUUUUGUUGUGCUUAAAUUGUAAUGUUUGCAUGAAUGUAAAUUUAUAUUCCUUAUUUACUUGAUUCUAUACUGGACUGGACAUUUGUAAAGUCCAUAGCGUAGCUUAAGUUAUGCCAGAAUUAUUAUCAGUCUAACAUAGAAUGAUAUUUUCUAUUUUCACAAUACAAAUAUUUUCAAACACAUUUGAGAAAGGAUUACUUAAUACCUAUGACAUUUUCACAAAGAGGCUUAUUUUGCUUUCGAGGCAAUUUGCAGUUGAUUCUUCUUAUGCUUUGUCAUAAAUUAUUUUCAAUGAGAAAAACUGCAAUAUAAAAAUACUCCAUAAAUUUCUUUUGCUCUGUUUCAAAAUUUUUCUUAUGACCGCAUGGGAGAGGAAGGAAUAUAAAAUGAACAUAUAUAAGAAGAUAUGUAUACAUAUAUAUACUACAGUACUUUUGCACACAAUAUUGUUUAUAAAGAAAUAUUACUGAAUUGCUGUUUCUUCAAUUCUCUUAAUAGUACUCAGUAUUAUAAUUUCAAAGAAUAUAUGCUUCUUGCAAAUGCAAAGUAUUAGAUGAUAUCUAAUUUGAUGCAAGACAUAAUGUUCUUGUGUGAAUACUUUAUUGAAAGCUUAAGCAAUAAGGUUAAAUGAUAAUUCAAAUGGUGAAGUACAGUGGUUUCUAAUGCCCAGGUUUCAUUGGAAUCUUAUAUAAGAAAAAGAUGAAAUGGAAAAUAUGAAUGUACUUAACCUGAAAAAAAUUAAAUUGAUCUUACUUUGUUCUCUGUGAUUUCUUGUCAGGUGAUGGUAAGUGUUUUAAUUCUAGUAUUUUUAAAACAUUUUGUUGAAUAUAUAUCUUUCUGGAACAACUACAUAGAGAAUAGCGCACAGAUGUGGUAUACUAUUUAACCUAAGUGUAUUAUAUUUAAAAUAAAAUUG